AAUAAGUGCAGUUUUAGCACUAUUAAUGUUCGUUUAACUGUUCGUCUUAUUUGAAAAAAGAUUAUGAUUAGUAUUUUUAUUAUUAUUAGAUGAUAAAACAUGAAUAGUACUUUAUGUGUGACUAAUUUUUUUAAUAUUUUUUAUAAAAUUUUUAAAUAAGACGGAUGGUCAAAGCGCUAAACACGGAUAUUUAUGGCUGCACUUAUU
This is a non-coding RNA of Oryza glaberrima (African rice), 207 nucleotides long. The record is from Rfam. Lineage: Eukaryota; Viridiplantae; Streptophyta; Magnoliopsida; Poales; Poaceae.